RNAcentral lists this long non-coding RNA (1873 nucleotides) under Homo sapiens (human). Its description in RNAcentral is "HSALNT0015412". The record is from RNAcentral. Lineage: Eukaryota; Metazoa; Chordata; Mammalia; Primates; Hominidae.
CAAGUUCCUACCAACACCUCCACUCCUUCCCCUCAGUGCCCCAAAUUCCAUUCACUACAGCACCUUUGGUGUUAAUGUGCAUGCACGUGGGAGCCCAGCCCUGUAAGCACCAUUCGUUAUUUACGGGGGAGUGAAGGCCUUUUCAGACCCUCCCCUGAGAAAAGAUUUUGAUGGAGGAGGCAGGGAGAGAAGAAAGCACUGUCCCCCAUAGAUGAUGAGAGUGGUGCUAUUGAAGGGGAAAUGGUGAAGAGGGAGGGGGCUGGUGUGGAGGCCAGACAUGCCCUUCCUACAGGUGCUGCCAAGGUGGCCUCCGGUGAGCUGUGGACAAGUCAGGCCUGCCUGCCUAUCACCGCCCUCAGGAGCCACUCCCAACCCCUCCCAGUGUCCUCCUCUCAAAGCAACUUUCCCUCUUAACUUCCUCUGCAUCCUUGCAGAGUUCCCGCCUGGCCUAACUUCCCCAUUUUCCAGGCAGGCAAAACUAAGCCAUGACAAAACCAAUGACGUCCACACCAAAGAAGGAGAGGAAUGCAGUGGGAGCCCAGGACCCUAACCCCCAGAGGCAGAAGCUGUCUCAACCCACUCAAGGAGAGACCCUUCCUGUGCUCCCCUCUCCCCAGGCCAAGGCUCUUCAUCAAGUCAUCGAUGCUGCUCUCCUUCAUCUUUUGUGGACCCAGGUGGAGAGACAGCUCAGACCCCGCUCCCAGCCCUGCCCUCGCACCACUGCAUGGUGUCAUCCCCACCCCGAAACUUCAGGGUGAGCCCCAGCUGAGUCAAUGACACUGUCAGCAUCUCGACCCCCAGAGUCUGCCCACUGCCCACACCUAGGGAAGGGCCUGGCAUGAGGUAGGGGGUCAGGGACCUGACUCCUGAAUGGAAAUAAAUGACAGCAGGAAUGCUAGCCUAGCCUGCCUUCCCUGCAAUACUGUCCCCCAGCCAAAGAAACAAUCAUCUAGGUUUUAUACCAACACCUGAUAAAAACAGCUUGCUGGGUCAGGUGUGGUGGCUCACACCUGUAAUCCUAGCACUUUGGGAGGCCGAGGCGGGUGGAUCACCUGACAUCAGGAGUUCGAGACCAGCCUGACCAACAUGGUGAAACCCUGUCUCUACUGAAAAUACAAAAUUAGCCAGGCAUGGUGGUACAUCCCUGUAAUCCCAGCUAUUUGGAAGGCUGAGGCAGGAGAAUCGCUUGAACUUGAGAAGCGGAGGUUGCAGUAAGUAAGAUCAUGCCAUUGCACUCCAGCCUGGGCAACAAGAAUGAAACUCCUUCUCAAAAAAAAAAAAAGAACACCUUGCUGAUUAUGUGGCAUUGAGCAUUAUCCAAGUCUCUGAGUGACUCUCUCCCCAUUCUAAGGACUAGGUGAGAAUAACCCCGGACAAAAUGUCUCUCAAUGAGAGCAGUGCACUGGGGCUGUGAAGCCACUGCAUCCCUCCCCUGCUAGGAGAGCUGUGCAAGAGGCCUGCCUGGAGCCUGGUUGUGCACUGUUGUUCAGUCCCCUGAUGUCCCAGCCUGGCUCCAUUAGGACGAUGGAGUCAGGGUCCUUUGGGUGGAACAGGAAGAAAAUAUAGACAAGCAGAUCCUGAUGUCUCCUCAUCAUUGCCGUCAGCUACAGGUUUUCACAGGAGACAUUGGGACUUACAAAGGCGGAAACUGCUUGUCUGUCACGUGAUCCUAGUCCCCAGCCUGGGCUCCUGUUAUUGCCAGGCCCUCCUCUGGGCGUCUCUCCUUCUGUAAUUAAUCCCUGCUGGACCUGUGGCCCCUCCCUCUGCCCUCAUUAACCUCCAGGAUGCAGGCAGCCUGGCAGAAGGCCAGAGAUCAGGCCUGGGGACGCCCAUACCUGCUUCUGUCCCCUGCCCAUGUGGCACACUGUGGACC